This 939-nucleotide long non-coding RNA is filed under the name Mustela putorius furo (domestic ferret). RNAcentral describes it as "lncRNA (ENSMPUG00000025244.1)". The record is from RNAcentral. Lineage: Eukaryota; Metazoa; Chordata; Mammalia; Carnivora; Mustelidae.
UGGGCCUCCUGCUCUGUGGGCCAAUCAUAUUGCCACCUUCCUGUCUCUUCGUUUUCAUGCUAGGACUUUUUUGCUCUGUUUUUUAAUACCAGUUCCCAUGUGCAGUGGAGAUUUGUGAUUUUAUUUCGUGUCCAGUGACUAGCCACUUCCUAUGAGCCAGAUUCCCACUAAAGAAGCUGAAGGUGCCAGGUACAUACUGUCAACAUGACUACCACUGUUGAUGUAACCUUGAUCAUCUGGCUGAGGAGAAAACUCUCUACUGUUUUCCAUAAUGGCUGUCCUAAUUUAUAUUCCCACUAACAGUGCAUGAGAGGUCCCUUUUCUGCACAUCUUUGCCAACACUUGUUACUUCUUCUAAAAGCCAUUAUAACAGGGCCCUGUUGCAUAGCCUCCAUACUCAUUUGUAGAAAAGAUUAAAACUAUAAAUCAUCAGAACUCAUAAACUGCCUACUUGGAGCUGAACGGCCAGCACAGCACCAGAGCUGAUGGAGAUUUAUGAUACUCAGACAGCUCCUCUCACCCAACUUCAAGAAGAUAAAGGGAAAGGAAAGCUAUCCAAUUAACUUGGUGUCCAUAGACAAUACUUAUAUAAACAGAUGGGAUUAGCUACCUGGAGGACAAAACUAGAAAUAUAAAGGAGAAGGGUACCCAAGAAGUUAAUGUGUAUUGACUGAUGUCUGUUCUACAUGUUGAAAUACCAGCUAUGUAUGAGGCUUCACUAAAGAUACAUGACUUUCCAAAAUUUUAUCCAGUCAAUAAAAAUUCAUACUAACUGCCUACUCUUCUAAUCUUUAGCUUUACUAUGCCUUAUACCACAUUCACCUAUAUAUAACUGCUGGUUGCAGUCAAAUGAUUUCUAAUUUGUCCCUUUAAUAAAAUUUCAAUGUCUUUGGGAAAAAUAUGAUUUUUACCUUAUUUGAAUAAAAAUUGUAUGUUUAG